AUCGAAUCUACGUUAGCAAUAGAAGGACCCCACCAUGCACCCUUGUGUCAUAGUAUGAAUAUUUCAGAUAAAAAAUGUACCUCAACCACCGAAGCUCUUCUAUUCAACGAAACCAUGCAGAACCCCAUAGUUGGAAGCCUUGGUCAUCAACAGAAUUAAAGGCCUUGGCUUGGCCUCAAAAAUACUCAACAACCAUUAAGUGUGAGCUCUAGCAGAAUGAACCUAGAUUUUAGUGCAAUAAACCCAUGCUUGCACACAAUGAACUGCUUGACAAGUGUUACUCCUUUUUUUUCUUUCUUUUUUUUUCGUAGAUAAGUACCUCCAAAGCACACCUAAGAAUUAUAUAUAUAAAAAAAAAAUGCCUGCCAAAAUUCGGACUGAAAAAUUGACCUUUUAUCUUAUUGAAUAAUGGCCAAAUUUUACGUGAAUAGAAAAUAAAAAUAUUGGUAAUUACCCUAAUUCCAAGUAGAAGAGAAGAUAAAGUUUGGAAGAGAUCUUUUAGCAGUACAUGUAAUGUUGGGAAUUUAGAGUAUCAGAGUGUUGAGAGAAAGAAGUUGCAGAGAAAAAAUAACGCUUAGAAAUGCAGAAUAUACAAG
This 596-nucleotide long non-coding RNA is filed under the name Olea europaea subsp. europaea. Lineage: Eukaryota; Viridiplantae; Streptophyta; Magnoliopsida; Lamiales; Oleaceae. The record is from RNAcentral.